Molecule: transfer RNA, 64 nt
Filed under: Libnetis granicollis
Lineage: Eukaryota; Metazoa; Arthropoda; Insecta; Coleoptera; Lycidae
Description: tRNA-Asn
Source: RNAcentral
UUAAUUGAAACCAAAUAGAGGUAUAUUACUGUUAAUAAUAAAAAUGAAUUAUAUUCCAAUUGAA